RNAcentral lists this small nucleolar RNA (126 nucleotides) under Peromyscus maniculatus bairdii (prairie deer mouse). Its description in RNAcentral is "Small nucleolar RNA SNORA40 (ENSPEMG00000003528.2)". It matches the Rfam family "Small nucleolar RNA SNORA40". Rfam says of the family: The snoRNA ACA 40 belongs to the H/ACA family of snoRNAs and guides the pseudouridylation of 28S rRNA subunit at position U4565. NB This family has a high threshold value to exclude a large number of closely related sequences that do not appear to have conserved H and ACA boxes, and may be pseudogenes. The record is from Rfam by way of RNAcentral. Lineage: Eukaryota; Metazoa; Chordata; Mammalia; Rodentia; Cricetidae.
AGCAUUUAUGUGUGGUUUUUGGUGAAUGAAUGAACAAAGACUUAAAGAUAUGUACAAAAAAAUCCUCUUUUGCAACUUGGAACUCAUUAGUAAGUAUGAGUUUUGAUAUGUAUCAGAAGGGAUAUG